AAAAUUAAAUAAUUAUUUGAAAGAAAACUUUAAAUUGAUUUAAAUUAUAAAUCUUUUAAUAAAAAUAUUAAUAAAAAAAUAAAAUAAAAUAAUUUCACCGAACAUGAUUAGAUAGUAGGACUAGAUGGUAUGACAUGUUUAUA
This 143-nucleotide small RNA is filed under the name Arabidopsis thaliana (thale cress). Its description in RNAcentral is "ATSL148820". The record is from RNAcentral. Lineage: Eukaryota; Viridiplantae; Streptophyta; Magnoliopsida; Brassicales; Brassicaceae.